Molecule: ribosomal RNA, 497 nt
Filed under: uncultured bacterium
Lineage: Bacteria
Description: partial 16S ribosomal RNA
Rfam family: Bacterial small subunit ribosomal RNA
Source: RNAcentral
GAUGAACGCUGGCGGCGUGCCUAAUACAUGCAAGUCGAGCGAACGGACGAGAAGCUUGCUUCUCUGAUGUUAGCGGCGGACGGGUGAGUAACACGUGGAUAACCUACCUAUAAGACUGGGAUAACUUCGGGAAACCGGAGCUAAUACCGGAUAAUAUUUUGAACCGCAUGGUUCAAAAGUGAAAGACGGUCUUGCUGUCACUUAUAGAUGGAUCCGCGCUGCAUUAGCUAGUUGGUAAGGUAACGGCUUACCAAGGCAACGAUGCAUAGCCGACCUGAGAGGGUGAUCGGCCACACUGGAACUGAGACACGGUCCAGACUCCUACGGGAGGCAGCAGUAGUGAAUCUUCCGCAAAGGGCGAAAGCCUGACGGAGCAACGCCGCGUGAGUGAUGAAGGUCUUCGGAUCGGAAAACUCUGUUAUUAGGGAAGAACAUAUGUGUAAGUAACUGUGCACAUCUUGACGGUACCUAAUCAGAAAGCCACGGCUAACUACGUG